CCGGGAGUAGGAAGUAGGCUGGGCGGGGAAGAGGGCCGCGUUGUAGGCGGGUUCCGAGGAGGUGCAGAAGAAACCGGAAGUUGCCUAGUGGCACCUGCUCCCGGAAGUCAAUCCAUUGGAAACUGCUAACCCAGGUGGUGCCGUUGUGUGUGCCGAAGUGGCUUCCCUCUGGAUUGUCCCCAGCUGCCAGGCGAGGCCCGGGAGCGCAUCCGACGCACACCACCCGGCCGCCGCCGGUCACGAGCCCCGGAGGCCCAGCCCGCCGCCCAUCCUCGGCGACCUUGUCAGGGUGCCGGGGUCCCCAUUUGGUGAUUUGACGGAGGACAGGAAGGCUUUUUGAUUUAUUGAGAUACAACUUAUCUUGUUUUUGAUUACCUUGACAGUUUUGAGGUGUACUGGUUAGUUGUUUGGCCUGAG
This is a long non-coding RNA of Dama dama (fallow deer), 417 nucleotides long. RefSeq lists it as uncharacterized. The transcript has 3 exons. NCBI's taxonomy places the organism in Eukaryota, Metazoa, Chordata, Mammalia, Artiodactyla, Cervidae. The record is from RefSeq and is a predicted model, not a curated record.